GGGGGGGGGGGGGGGGGGGGCGGGGGCGGGCAGGGCGGACGGGAGCACAGUAAGAGCUGGCUCGUACGGGUGGCGAGUGGCGGACGGGUGAGGAAUACAUCGGAAUCUACUUUUUCGUGGGGGAUAACGUAGGGGAACUUACGCUAAUACCGCAUACGACCUACGGGUGAAAGCAGGGGAUCUUCGGACCUUGCGCGAUUGAAUGAGCCGAUGUCGGAUUAGCUAGUUGGCGGGGUAAAGGCCCACCAAGGCGACGAUCCGUAGCUGGUCUGAGAGGAUGAUCAGCCACACUGGAACUGAGACACGGUCCAGACUCCUACGGGAGGCAGCAGUGGGGAAUAUUGGACAAUGGGCGCAAGCCUGAUCCAGCCAUACCGCGUGGGUGAAGAAGGCCUUCGGGUUGUAAAGCCCUUUUGUUGGGAAAGAAAAGCAGCAGGUUAAUACCCCGCUGUUCUGACGGUACCCAAAGAAUAAGCACCGGCUAACUUCGUG
This 492-nucleotide ribosomal RNA is filed under the name uncultured bacterium. Its description in RNAcentral is "partial 16S ribosomal RNA". It matches the Rfam family "Bacterial small subunit ribosomal RNA", at positions 38 to 507 of the family's 1533-position model. The record is from RNAcentral.